This 448-nucleotide ribosomal RNA is filed under the name uncultured Planctomycetota bacterium. Its description in RNAcentral is "bacterial SSU rRNA". It matches the Rfam family "Bacterial small subunit ribosomal RNA", at positions 217 to 656 of the family's 1533-position model. The record is from RNAcentral. Lineage: Bacteria; Pseudomonadati; Planctomycetota.
GCUUAGAGAGGGGUCAAUGUCCUAUCAGCUAGUUGGUAGGGUAAUGGCCUACCAAGGCUAAGACGGGUAGCCGGCCUGAGAGGGUGGUCGGCCACACUGGGACUGAGACACUGCCCAGACUCCUACGGGAGGCUGCAGUGGAGAAUCUUUCGCAAUGCCCGAAAGGGUGACGAAGCGACGCCGCGUGUGGGAAGAAGGCCUUCGGGUUGUAAACCACUGUCGGGAGUUAAGAAAUGUAAGGGUAUUAAUAGUAUCCUUACUUGACUAAGGCUCCGGAGGAAGCCACGGCUAACUCUGUGCCAGCAGCCGCGGUAAUACAGAGGCGGCAAGCGUUGUUCGGAAUUAUUGGGCGUAAAGAGCACGUAGGCGGCUUUGUAAGUCAGUUGUGAAAGCCUUCUGCUCAACGGAAGAACAGCAUCUGUUACUGCAAGGCUAGAGUGCGGAAGGG